ACGGAAGGCAGCAGUAGGGAAUCUUCCACAAUGGGCGAAAGCCUGAUGGAGCAACGCCGCGUGUGUGAUGAAGGGUUUCGGCUCGUAAAACACUGUUGUAAGAGAAGAAUGACAUUGAGAGUAACUGUUCAAUGUGCGACGGUAUCUUACCAGAAAGGACCGGCUAAAUACGUGCCAGCAGCCGCGGUAAUACGUAUGUUCCAAGCGUUAUCCGGAUUUAUUGGGCGUAAAGCGAGCGCAGACGGUUAUUUAAGUCUGAAGUGAAAGCCCUCAGCUCAACUGAGGAAUUGCUUUGGAAACUGGAUGACUUGAGUGCAGUAGAGGAAAGUGGAACUCCAUGUGUAGCGGUGAAAUGCGUAGAUAUAGGGAAGAACACCAGUGGCGAAGGGGGCUUUCUGGACUGUAACUGACGUUGAGGCUCGAAAGUGUGGGUAGCAAACAGGAUUAGAUACCUGGUA
Molecule: ribosomal RNA, 458 nt
Filed under: uncultured Weissella sp.
Lineage: Bacteria; Bacillati; Bacillota; Bacilli; Lactobacillales; Lactobacillaceae
Description: partial 16S ribosomal RNA
Rfam family: Bacterial small subunit ribosomal RNA
Source: RNAcentral